This 449-nucleotide ribosomal RNA is filed under the name uncultured bacterium. RNAcentral describes it as "partial 16S ribosomal RNA". It matches the Rfam family "Bacterial small subunit ribosomal RNA", at positions 29 to 523 of the family's 1533-position model. The record is from RNAcentral.
AACGAACGCUGGCAGCAUGCCUAACACAUGCAAGUCGAACGAGAUCUUCGGGUCUAGUGGCGCACGGGUGCGUAACGCGUGGGAAUCUGCGCUUUGGUUCGGAAUAACAGUUGGACACGACUGCUAAUACCGGAUGAUGACGAAAGUCCAAAGAUUUAUCGCCAGAGGAUGAGCCCGCGUAGGAUUAGGUAGUUGGGGUGGUAAAGGCGCACCAAGGCGACGAUCCUUAGCUGGUCUGAGAGGAUGAUCAGCCACACUGGGACUGAGACACGGCCCAGACUCCUACGGGAGGCAGCAGUGGGGAAUAUUGGACAAUGGGCGAAAGCCUGAUCCAGCAAUGCCGCGUGAGUGAUGAAGGCCUUAGGGUUGUAAAGCUCUUUUACCCGGGAUGAUAAUGACAGUACCGGGAGAAUAAGCUCCGGCUAACUCCGUGCCAGCCGCCGCGGUAA